RNAcentral lists this long non-coding RNA (1493 nucleotides) under Musa acuminata (dwarf banana). RNAcentral's name for it is "long non-coding RNA (MACU_LNC000383)". Lineage: Eukaryota; Viridiplantae; Streptophyta; Magnoliopsida; Zingiberales; Musaceae. The record is from RNAcentral.
AGGAGUUGCGGUGGAAGACCCGGCGAGCCCGAACAAGCUCCGCCUACUGAUCAAGGACUACCCCUUCGCCGUCGACGGCCUGGCAAUCUGGUCUGCGAUCGAGACUUGGGUCACCGAGUACUGCUCCAUCUACUACAGCAACGACGCGGCGAUCCGGGCCGAUGUCGAGCUGCAGGCCUGGUGGAAGGAGGUCCGCGAGGUCGGCCACGGCGACAAGAAGGACGAGGAUUGGUGGCCCAAGAUGCAGACCCUGGCGGAGCUGGCCAAGACCUGUACCACCAUCAUCUGGGUGGCCUCCGCCCUGCACGCGGCGGUCAACUUCGGGCAGUACCCCUACGCUGGCUACCUCCCCAACCGGCCCACCAUCAGUCGGCGGUUCAUGCCCGAGCCGGGCACGCCGGAGUACCACGAGCUGGAGAAGAACCCGGACCUAGCGUUCCUGAAGACCAUCACCAGCCAGUUCCAGACCAUCCUCGGCGUGUCACUCAUCGAGGUCCUGUCGCGCCACUCCUCCGACGAGGUGUACCUUGGGCAAAGGGACUCGCCGGAGUGGACCACGGACCGCAGCGCGCUCGAGGCGUUCGAGCGAUUUAGCCAUAAGUUGAUCGAGAUCGAGAAUCGGAUCAUAAGCAUGAACCAGGACGCGAGCCUGAGGAAUCGCACCGGCCCGGUUAAGAUGCCCUACACGCUGCUCUACCCCAACGUCUCCGACUUGACCGGCGUCGGCGGGCUCACUGGACGGGGAAUCCCCAACAGCGUCUCCAUCUGAGCUCGGGGAUUCGAUGUGCGUUUGGUUUGGCCAGUGCGGCAGUGUCGAAUAUGUCACAAUAAGAGUGUGCUUCCGGUGUGAGGAACUCUCGAGAAAGUGAAUCUGAAGAGGGAUUGCAUGUGUAUUUUGUGUGUGUGUGUUGUUUACAUCUCAAUCUCUUGCAUAGGAGGAAACGCAAUUAGGAUAGUAAAUAAAAUCCAUCUCGUUUAUUGUAAGAUUUUGACGGAUUUAGGGAACAUCAAAUCCUAUCUUAUGAUAAGAAUCAUCAUAAUGAACAUGACGAGGAUAAUAAUGGCGACAAGACUCUGGCUGACGUCAGUUGCCCCAGAUGACGUCUCAAGCCUUGAUCGACCCGACAACACCUGGUCAAACGGACCAGAACACCGAUCGAGACGCAUUAACGUCCUGCUCAGGCCCGGUCGUCCACGCCACGCCAACACCAGUGUCGUAUGCUACCAGGAGUACGAGCCUGCCCCCUGCAAGCGGGCAUAUCAGGAAACAUGAAGCUUCCCUAUAAAUACCCUCGCGUCCUGAACAGGGAGGGAAAGGAAGAGAGGAAGACACAACUUAGCUAAAGAAACCCCCUGCGACUAUCCACUAACUUGAUCAUCGGAUGGGUCAGGUCGAGCUCCCCGACCUGACCUUUGUGCAGGUGCGAAGCCGGAGGUCCCCGCUGAACGCGCAGGCGAGGAGUCCUCCCCCGGUGGAAACGACUGCCCCGUCC